RNAcentral lists this ribosomal RNA (224 nucleotides) under uncultured bacterium. RNAcentral's name for it is "partial 16S ribosomal RNA". It matches the Rfam family "Bacterial small subunit ribosomal RNA", at positions 109 to 334 of the family's 1533-position model. The record is from RNAcentral.
GGUAACACGUAUCCAACCUGCCCUUUACUCGGGGAUAGCCUUUCGAAAGAAAGAUUAAUACCCGAUAGUAUAAUGAUUCCGCAUGGUUUCAUUAUUAAAGGAUUCCGGUAAAGGAUGGGGAUGCGUUCCAUUAGGUUGUUGGUGAGGUAACGGCUUACCAAGCCUUCGAUGGAUAGGGGUUCUGAGAGGAAGGUCCCCCACAUUGGAACUGAGACACGGUCCAA